RNAcentral lists this ribosomal RNA (460 nucleotides) under uncultured bacterium. RNAcentral's name for it is "partial 16S ribosomal RNA". It matches the Rfam family "Bacterial small subunit ribosomal RNA", at positions 338 to 795 of the family's 1533-position model. The record is from RNAcentral.
CCUACGGGAGGCAGCAGUGAGGAAUAUUGGUCAAUGGACGAGAGUCUGAACCAGCCAAGUAGCGUGAAGGAUGACUGCCCUAUGGGUUGUAAACUUCUUUUAUAUGGGAAUAAAACGUUCCACGUGUGGGAUUUUGUAUGUACCAUAUGAAUAAGGAUCGGCUAACUCCGUGCCAGCAGCCGCGGUAAUACGGAGGAUCCGAGCGUUAUCCGGAUUUAUUGGGUUUAAAGGGAGCGUAGGUGGAUUGUUAAGUCAGUUGUGAAAGUUUGCGGCUCAACCGUAAAAUUGCAGUUGAAACUGGCAGUCUUGAGUACAGUAGAGGUGAGCGGAAUUCGUGGUGUAGCGGUGAAAUGCUUAGAUAUCACGAAGAACUCCGAUUGCGAAGGUAGUUCACUGGACUGCAACUGACACUGAGGCUCGAAAGUGUGGGUAUCAAACAGGAUUAGAUACCCCGGUAGUC